RNAcentral lists this ribosomal RNA (254 nucleotides) under uncultured bacterium. RNAcentral describes it as "partial 16S ribosomal RNA". It matches the Rfam family "Bacterial small subunit ribosomal RNA", at positions 524 to 776 of the family's 1533-position model. The record is from RNAcentral.
CACGUAGGGUGCGAGCGUUGUUCGGAUUUACUGGGCGUAAAGGGCGCGUAGGCGGUCGUGACAAGUCACUUGUGAAAUCUCCGGGCUUAACUCGGAACGGUCAAGUGAUACUGUCGGACUAGAGUACAGAAGGGGCAACUGGAAUUCUCGGUGUAGCGGUGAAAUGCGUAGAUAUCGAGAGGAACACCUGCGGCGAAGGCGGGUUGCUGGGCUGAUACUGACGCUGAGGCGCGAAAGCCAGGGGAGCGAACGGG